AGGAACAUGGUAGACGCGCGUGUUUAGGCCUCAUGAUUUGCCAGCUCAAUUAAUGAGCUCAGAUCCAAUGGCUCACGCUUUUUUCUCUUUUUCUAAUUUUUGAUUUUAUUUUCUUUUAUUUCUUUUAGUUCCAUUUUAUUUCUAAAAUUCAUAUCUCUCUCAUUAUUGGUCCAAAAAAUGUGAGACCAAUUUCAUUGUUCUCCUUUUAAUUUCUACUUUCUAAAAAUGAUUUUUAAUAUUUUUU
This 244-nucleotide long non-coding RNA is filed under the name Lathyrus oleraceus (garden pea). RNAcentral's name for it is "Pisum sativum (pea) long non-coding RNA (PSAT_LNC015497)". The record is from RNAcentral. Lineage: Eukaryota; Viridiplantae; Streptophyta; Magnoliopsida; Fabales; Fabaceae.